This 393-nucleotide ribosomal RNA is filed under the name uncultured bacterium. Its description in RNAcentral is "partial 16S ribosomal RNA". It matches the Rfam family "Bacterial small subunit ribosomal RNA", at positions 523 to 918 of the family's 1533-position model. The record is from RNAcentral.
AUACGGAGGAUGCAAGCGUUAUCCGGAUUUAUUGGGUUUAAAGGGUGCGUAGGCGGGACUGUAAGUCAGGGGUGAAAUACUGCCGCUUAACUGUAGCAUUGCCUUUGAAACUGCCGUUUUUGAGUACAGUUGAGGUAGGCGGAAUUGGGUGUGUAGGGGUGAAAUGCAUAGAUAUACCACAGAACGCCGAUUGCGAAGGCAGCUUACUAAGCUGUUACUGACGCUGAGGCACGAAAGCGUGGGGAUCAAACAGGAUUAGAUACCCUGGUAGUCCACGCUGUAAACGAUGAUUACUGGUUGUUAGCGAUAUAUAGCUAGUGACUGAGCGAAAGCAUUAAGUAAUCCACCUGGGGAGUACGUCGGCAACGAUGAAACUCAAAGGAAUUGGCGGGG